AUUGAACGCUGGCGGCAUGCCUAACACAUGCAAGUCGAACGGUAACGCGGGGGCAACCCUGGCGACGAGUGGCGGACGGGUGAGUAAUACGUAGGAAUCUGCCCAUUUGUGGGGGAUAACCCGGCGAAAGCCGGGCUAAUACCGCAUACGCUCUACGGAGGAAAGCGGGGGAUCGUAAGACCUCGCGCUAAUGGAUGAGCCUACGUCGGAUUAGCUAGUUGGUAGGGUAACGGCCUACCAAGGCGACGAUCCGUAGCUGGUCUGAGAGGACGAUCAGCCACACUGGGACUGAGACACGGCCCAGACUCCUACGGGAGGCAGCAGUGGGGACUAAUGGACAAUGGGGGCAACCCUGAUCCAGCAAUGCCGCGUGUGUGAAGAAGGCCUGCGGGUUGUAAAGCACUUUCAGAGGGGAAGAAAAAUACGGAGCUAACACCUCCGGUCUUGACGUUACCCUUAGAAGAAGCACCGGCUAACUCCGUGCCAGCAGCCGCGGUAAUACGGAGGGUGCAAGCGUU
This 518-nucleotide ribosomal RNA is filed under the name uncultured bacterium. RNAcentral describes it as "bacterial SSU rRNA". It matches the Rfam family "Bacterial small subunit ribosomal RNA", at positions 29 to 542 of the family's 1533-position model. The record is from RNAcentral.